AUUGAACGCUGGCGGCAGGCCUAACACAUGCAAGUCGAACGAGUGGCGGACGGGUGAGUAAUGUCUGGGAAACUGCCUGCUGGCGGGGGAUAACUACUGGAAACGGUAGCUAAUACCGCAUACCAUCAGAUGUGCCCAGAUGGGUUUAGCUCGUUGGUGGGGUAACGGCUCACCAAGGCGACGAUCCCUAGCGGGUCUGAGAGGAUGACCAGCAACACUGGAACGGAGACACGGUCAGGAUUCCUACGGGAGGCAGCAGUGGGGAAUAUUGCACAAUGGGCGCAAGCCGGAUACAGCCAUGCCGCGUGGAUGAGGAAGGCCUUCGGGUUGUAAAGUACUUUCAGCGGGGAGGCGUUACCCGCAGAAGAAGCACCGGCUAACUCCGUGCCAGCAGCCGCGGUAAUAC
This 406-nucleotide ribosomal RNA is filed under the name uncultured bacterium. RNAcentral's name for it is "partial 16S ribosomal RNA". It matches the Rfam family "Bacterial small subunit ribosomal RNA", at positions 30 to 526 of the family's 1533-position model. The record is from RNAcentral.